GGGUAAGUAGGUUGGUCGUGCCACCGGUACGUACUGGUCUCACUGAUUCCUCCUUCCUGAAGGACCGUAAUGCCAUUAUUUUGGUGUUGCGGGGAAACAGGACUGUUACUUUGAAAAAAUUAGAGUGUCUAAAGCAAGCUAACGCUUGAAUACAUUAGCAUGGAAUAAUGAAAUAGGACGAUCGAUCCUAUUUUGUUGGUUUCUAGGAUUGACGUA
RNAcentral lists this ribosomal RNA (216 nucleotides) under Glomeromycotina sp. RNAcentral's name for it is "partial small subunit ribosomal RNA". The stretch from base 40 to 216 matches the Rfam family "Eukaryotic small subunit ribosomal RNA", at positions 686 to 864 of the family's 1831-position model. The record is from RNAcentral. Lineage: Eukaryota; Fungi; Glomeromycota.